GCUGGCGGCAGGCCUAACACAUGCAAGUCGAGCGCGCCUUCGGGCGAGCGGCGGACGGGUUAGUAACGCGUGGGAACGUGCCCAGAUCUACGGAAUAGCCACUGGAAACGGUGAGUAAUACCGUAUACGCCCUUCGGGGGAAAGAUUUAUCGGAUUUGGAUCGGCCCGCGUUAGAUUAGGUAGUUGGUGGGGUAACGGCCUACCAAGCCUACGAUCUAUAGCUGGUUUUAGAGGAUGAUCAGCAACACUGGGACUGAGACACGGCCCAGACUCCUACGGGAGGCAGCAGUGGGGAAUCUUGGACAAUGGGGGCAACCCUGAUCCAGCCAUGCCGCGUGAGUGAAGAAGGCCCUAGGGUCGUAAAACUCUUUCGCCUGUGAUGAUAAUGACAGUAGCAGGUAAAGAAACCCCGGCUAA
RNAcentral lists this ribosomal RNA (417 nucleotides) under uncultured Alphaproteobacteria bacterium. RNAcentral's name for it is "bacterial SSU rRNA". It matches the Rfam family "Bacterial small subunit ribosomal RNA", at positions 35 to 500 of the family's 1533-position model. The record is from RNAcentral. Lineage: Bacteria; Pseudomonadati; Pseudomonadota; Alphaproteobacteria.